UAGAGUGUGUCCAUUUCCAACCACCGUUAGCUCAGAAGUCGUUACCUUGUCUGUAGUUCCCAGCGCUGGAGCCGCAGCUGUAGGAACCGCCGCCACUGUAGGAGCGGUCGCCAAGCCAUCACAGAAGCCGCCGCCUCUGCCUGAGCCACCGCCUGAGCCACCGCCAGAGCCAGAGCCGGAGCCUCAGCCAAUGCCGCCACUGGAGGAGGAGCGGACACUGAGCAGGAGCAGACGCCAAAGCCGCUAACGUAACCGUUAAGACCACUACCGGAGCCAAUGCCGGAACCAACGCCGCCGCUGUCCACCCAGAGCCAACGCUUUCGCUGCCAGAGCACUGGAACCUUUGAAGCCAACACUGCACUUAGAGGGUAGGAGCUGCUGCCGCUGCCGCUGCCUCUGCUAUUGCGCCAGCCCGGAGUCAACUCCAUCGCCGCUGCUGCAGGAGCACAGGAACCUUGGUAGCUAAUGCCGGGUGUGUAGGAGCCGCCGCCUCCCGGGAGCCACUGGAAUGCUGGAGCCAAGGCCACAGGAGCUCAGAGCCGGCCACGUCAGGACCUAAGCCGAAAGGAAGCUGCGCAAGACUUGGCUGUGAUCCCCAGCGGGUAAGGAGGGCGCGAGGAAGGACUAGACAGCCUCCGCCGCUUCCACUGCGAGAUCACCCGCGCAUUUCUGGCUGAUCCCCCAGGGGUGAGACCCAGCAGAAGUCUUGGAGCACCUUGAAGGAGGAGGGCCUUUGAUCUAAGCAGUUAAAAAAGAAGCUAACAUACCAUACAGUUGGAAUUAAGAACAAGAUUCAUAAAGUCAUCUUAUACAUGCAGAAAAAGGUCUUGAUGCAAUAGAUAAAACAAUAAUUUCAAAAAUAAUGCAGAAACAUGGCAGAGAAGGAGCCUAACCUCAAUAUUAUAAAAGCUAUAUAUGAGAAAUGUGAAGCUAACAUCACACUAAACUGAUAAAAAUUAAAGGUUUUCCUCAAAUUUCAGGAGCAAGACAUGAAUGUUGACUUUUACCACUUCUAUUUAAUACAGUUUUCAAAAGUAAAGUCAGAACAAUCAGGCAAAAGUAGAAAUUUAAAAGGAUACAAAUAGAAAAAUAAGAAGCCAAAUUCUCCCUUUUACUUGGUGAUAAGAUUUUAUAUUUAGAAGACUCAAAAAUUGUCACCAAAAAAAUUCUAGACCUGAUAAAUUUAGCAACGUAGUAGGAUAAAAGAUCAACACUCAUAAAUCUAUAGCAUUAUUAUACAGUGAUUCAGCUGAAAAAAGAAUUCAAUAAAACCAUCACUUUCACAAUAGUCUGAAAAAACACCUGGGGAUUAAUCUAACCAAGGUGGUGAAAUAACUCGAGAAUGAAAACCGUAGAACACUGAAAAAGAAAUCUAAGAACUCAGAAGAUGCAGAGACCUACUUUCCAUGUUCUUGGAUAGGCAGAAUUAAUAUUGUCAAAAUGGCCAUGCUACCAACAGCAAAAUUCAGAUUGAAUGCAUUCAAUACAAUUCCCUUCAAAAUACAAAUGAUGUUUCUUACAGUAUUGAAAAACCAGCCCUGAAAUUUAUUUGGGAUAAUAGUAAUAAUAAUUUGACAAAGAAAUUCUGAGCAAGAAAAAGUGUUGUAGAAGCCAUCACAAUACUCAAUCUCAAAUUUUACUACAGAAAUGAGUAGCAAAAACUGUAUUGUAUUGGCCUCAAAAUAGAUAUGAAUAUCAGUAGAAUAGAAUAUACCACAUAGAGACAACCCACUUGAUACUUAGUGCCACCUGAUACCUGACAAGGGCACCAACAUAUAUGUUAAUGGGAGAUAAUGGUACACUGAUCCAUUGUUGGUGGGACUGCAAAUUAUUAUGACAACUCUGGAAAGCAAUAUGGAAAUUCCUGAAAAACCCACCAGUGAAACCCAUAUGACUCAGCUAUUACAUUCCUCUCUACUUUUUCAAAAGAACUACAAAUCAGAAUACUAUGGUGAUACAAUCACUUACAUGUUUUCAGCAGGUAAAUUCAUAGUAAAUACAUUGUAAGAUCAACCCAGAUGUCCAUCAACAGUUGAAUGGAUGAAGUGCCCAAAAUUCAAUGGUAACUAGAUCUUCACUUCUGGAGCUAUAGCACUGCUGAAUGGCUCAAAGCAUAUAAACUUGUACACACCAAACAAAAGAAGAAUUGGAACUCUGAAUAUAUUAGAAUAAUUAUUGAAAAAUGGACACAAUGACUGGAUUUCCACAGCACUUUGUCUGACUUUUCUUUGGGGUAAACACUGUUUGUUGGCAACAGGUGGACUCAUUUGGCCCAAGGCCUGCAGAAGUCUUCUGGAUGUUUUGACUUCUUACAAUGCUUACAUGGGAGGCAAGAACCUGGAAAAUGUGAUAAAACAGUUGUUGACUGUGCUAGCAAGAAAACAGAGUUAUCAAUAAUAAUUCAAAUAACAGUUCAAGAAACUUUAAUUGACAAGAGAUAAUUGUAAAUAUCUGGGAGUACAAUUUGAGCCUUUUAAUUUAAGUAUUCAUAAUACAAUAAUAGCAUGCCCAUGAACUUAGAUAUUUGUUGUAGUUUUUUUUUCUUUUUCCCUGAUGAGAAUUCUUUCAUUUUAAACAACAAGAAUGAUCAUUAGUUGACUGAAAUAGGUCAGGCACAGAAGGACAAAUGCUGCAUAAUAUUGAGAGCUGUUUAUUGGAAGUGAAAAAUUGAUCUUAUAAAACCCAAGAGUAGAAUAUUAGUUACCAGAGCAGGGGAGAGAAUGUUACAAUUGAAUAUUAGGGAAAAAAAAGUUCUGGUGUACUUUUUUGCAGUCUGUGACCAGAGUUGAAAAUAACACACUCUAUGUUUCAAUAAAUUUUAGAGAGAGGGAUUUGAAUGUUAUUAGAAUUCACAGUGUUGAACUCAUUUUUCACCAUUAGGAUAGCAAAGCCCCUGAGUCAGAUUGGGCUUUAGGAUGACACUGCAAUGUGAUGAAGUUUAAAAGCCCACAAAAUGUUGUGUGUGUAAACACAUUUACUAAGGUGAAAUCACAGAACGGUAGUGAGAACAGUGACCACAAGCAGAGGCUGUGGUUGGUCAUGUGGCUUAUGUUGAAAUCCUACCUGAAUGUUACCUACCUGUGAGAGUUAAAUAAACCCCUCUGUGCCUCAAUUGCUUGUUGGAAGAUGCAAAAGUGUUCAUCUGAUCCACGUAAUGUUAUAAGGCUGACAGUGAUCACAUACAGACAGUCUUAAGAAGACUGAUGUGUCAUGUAUGUGCUAAAGAGCCAUAUCAUUAAAUAGGAUGCUUCAUUAAAUGUGUGGAAGAAUAAGCUCAAUCUUUGACAGUGUUUGAACAGAGAGGUGUCAAACAGAUGUCAUCCUCCAGGGCAGUGGGUGAAGAAAGUCUAUUCUUCAUUCUUUACAUAGAUGGAUGUUUGUAAAGCUCAUGGAGAAUAUUUAUGACCCCCUGUAACUCCAUAUCAGCAUGAAGAUAUGGGUGGAUCAGAGUCUGUCAGCCACAAUUUUGAGUUUAGGUGUUUGAAAUUUGGAGAUUUUAUGUGACUUGCCCAGAUUCACAACAGUCAUGAGUGGUGGAUGUGGGACAGGAUUGUAGUUAUUUACCUGGGACCAAAGAUCCCUGAGCCCUUGAGUCCUCUAGUGGACACCCUGGAACUAGGAACCCAGAACUCUUCUUAGUCUUUCUUAAAUGCUUCUCCUCUCAGGCCUCCUUGGUAAGAGGCCUUAGUCCCAGAGGAUUGACUGAUCCAAGAAAAAUGUUCAUGUUAUAACCCAGGCUCCUGCCUCUUCAUUACAGUUACUGACUAAAAAUAUGAUGAUUUCAUGCAAAUGAAGUCUAUCUGAAAGUCAAUAGUAGAGUCCACACUUGUGGCCAUCAUCCCCCAGGAUCGUCUCACUGCUUGCUGCCUCACAAUGAGACUUCCUGAUGAGCAGUUGACCACCCAAAUCAUCAGAGCUCUGUAGGGCUCAGAAACUGUUUUAGAAAUUGGGACAUUCUAAACCAACUGCCAUUUGAUGGCUGUGCCAAGAAUGAAGUUUCCUUCUGCUUUUCCCACCUGGGGUGGCCUGUUAAUGUGAAUUAAUUUGGGGAAACAGAUACCCUGGCUUAUGCUUUGGUGUUUCAGUGUCGUAAAUUGUCCUGACCCCAUGUCUGCAUACUAAUAUUCUGAGCCAUCAUCUGAGCAGCCAGACAAAGGUCUGGCUGAAAACAUCAUUGCUGCAGGUACACCAACUCUGAUCAGGCAUAUUCUUGCUCCUGGCCUUAGAUGCCUCUAUCUAGACCCUGCAGAGCCAGGAGCCAAAGACUAUCUGCCUCACAUGAACCCACCAAUAACUACAACCUGUGAACCUCCACCAAUGAAUUCUCCAUAAAGAGCACCAAAGCCUUCAUUUUUUCUGUUCUCAGAUGUCCACUCCACUGACCUCAUGGCACUGUCCUUCCUGCCUCCUUCCCAGGAGCCCCCACACACCAGGGAUUUUGUAGACAUCAACCACUUGGAAACUUUCCCCAAAAUCUCAGUCCUUUUUUCUUCAUACUAAUGUCUUGAUUUAGACUUCUCUAAUAUUAUUUUUAGAUGUUAAUAUACAUUCAGAUGAGUUUGGCCUCUAGUUGCCCUUUCAUGGGAUAUAUAUUGCCAUUCUUAGCAUCCAUAUACUCUCUUUCACUUUAUUUCUUGAUCUCAUGAAAGCAAGGUGGAUGUUGUCCCCCUUUUUGUUUAUUUGCUUCAAGAGUACACAUGAUGCUGGCAUUAGGAAAUGUCCAUUUUACUAAAUUUAGAAAAAUAGUUUUGGUAACCAGGUCAAUAGAACAAGCAAAUAUAUAAAUUGAGUGAUAAAACAAAAUCACAAAAUAUUUAAAUCUCAGCAGAGAAGAUUCAGUGUGGGAAAUUAAAAAAAUCAAUAGUAAAAUGUAUUUAGUAAAUGUUAUUUGAUCCCUUUGAACAUACAGUCUUGAAAAUAUCAUUGUCAACAUACCUUCACCGCAGCACUUUAGAUUUCCCAUGACUGACUAGCAUUUCAAAAAUUCCCUAUACUUCUCCAACUUUAACACCAACUCACUCACCACAGCAACUGACAGUUGACAUGGAAGGUAAAAUGUGCAUCCCAAAUUACCAUUAUAGAAUUUUCAUUGUGAGCACAUGUCACAUUAUGUGGUACUGCUGUUCUCUAAAUAAGCAUAUUUUACAUGUCCAAGUGUGUUGUUGAACAGUCUGUGUGUUGCUUCAAAUACUGAAACCUAGGCCCACAUAUUAAUAUUCUGUUUAUGAAAAUAAGUUAAAUCCAAAAAAAUAUUAUUCUCCCCAAAUAAUUUAAUUGAUUAUAAUAAUCUAUUGUGAAAGGAGGCAUAGCUACAAUUUUGAGAAUCAAGAGGUUCCCUUCCUGGUUUGAAAUGCCAUCCCUCCACAUUUCCCACCCUUUAUGAAUCUCCAGACAUAUGUAGAUAGAAAAAUUUAAAACUUCUUUUAGAUUCAGAAUGAAAUAUAUUCAAAGUAUUAUCAUGUAAUAGGGGAGAGAUUUUCAGGGUGGGAGAAUUUCAAGAUUACAUCCCCCAUAUUUGAAAUUUGAAAACAAAAUUAUUUUCUAUUUAGUAUUAUUUAAUUCAGUCAUUUGAAUUCAUCUUUUCUUCCAUGACUCCUGCUGAUGAAUUGGUUCUUUUGCUUAUCAUCUGACUCUGUCAUCUCAUGCCACAAGAACACAUGAUUGAAGAUGCCCAUGAUGAGGUCCAAACUAACAAAAUAUGAAAUAACUCCACAUUGUAAAGGCUAUCUAUGCUAAGCCCAAUGCAAACGUUAUUCUAACUGAGAAAAACUGGAAGCAUUUCCUCUAAAAACUGGAACAAGACAGGGAUGUCCUCUUCCACCACUUCUAUCCAACAUAAUCCUUAAAGCUCAGAGCAAUCAGAUGAAAGAAAUUAAAGGGAUACACAUAGGGAAAAAAGAACUCAAACUAUGACUAUUUUGCUGGCAAUAUGCUUCUAUAUGUAGAAGAUCCAAAAAAUCCCCCCAGAAACCUACUAGAACUAAUAAAUGAAUUCAACAAAGUAGGAGGAGAUAAAAUCACUACCCCAUAAAUCAAAUGCAUUUCUAUAAAUAAGUGAUGAAUCCACUGCAAGAAAAAGUAGGAAAACUAUUCCAUUCACAAUAGAAAAAGAAACCACAAACUUCAUUUGGAAAAAUAAGAGGCCAAGAAUAGUCAAAGCAAUCCUCUACAAGAAGAGUGAAUCAGGAGGCAUCACAAUACCAGACCUUAAACUUUACUACAGAGCCAUAGUAACAAAGAUAGCAUGGUAAUAAUACCAAAUUACACAUGUAGACAAUGGUACAAAAUAGAAAACACCACAUAAAUAUGACUAUCUCAUAUUAGACUAAGGCACCAAAAACAUAGAUUAUAAAAAAGAUAGCCUCUUCACCAAAUGAUACUGGGAAAACUGGAAAUUCAUAUGUAGCAAAUGAAAUUAAAACUCUAUCUCUCACCCUUCAAAAAAACUAACUCAAAGUGGAUCAAGACAGUAGAACAGAGACCCUGCACCUAAGAUAAGAAAAAGUAGGCCAAGUACCACAUGGACCUGUGUAUACUGGAGCAGCCACUGGCAUCAAGAGAAUCAGUGUUAUUCCCUCUGUGGACCCCAUGCCAUAGAGGUGCCUCUGACCCUGAAAGCAGAUUAAGCCCAGCGUAGGUCACAGGCUACUGGACCAUCCUGCUGCUGCUAGACUUGGCAGUAGAUUCCCAUGGUAGAGGCCUCAACUGGGAGUGGACUUUAGGCACAGGAGCCUGACCAUGAAGCAGUCUGUCCAACCUGAAGAGCCUUUGGAGCAGCAUCCUUAUGGUUUGGCUGAGCUACUGAAGAUGGGAAGCAGGGAUCCCGUCAUCAAACUCUCAGCCAAGGAUCCUCAACCAGGGCUGCAUCCUGAGGUUGCCUCUGCCCCAGACAUGUAGAUGUAUGAUCAUGUCUUGCAUUUUGUGACACAAAGGGGGAAUUAAAGCCACAACCAAAGAUUUUACAAACAAGGCCAUCUAUCUAGCUCAAUGUUAUUAACAAUGGGAGAAAAUUGGAACUAUCCUAAAUAUCCAUGAGAAAGAGUGAGACAAAGCAGUACGGCACAUCCAUCAUAAAGCAUCUUACACAAACCCUCAAAAUUAGAUUUCUGAAAGAUGGAAUCCAGCAACAAGUUUAUGCUUAAUAAAGUUAUUUGAUUAUUGGUGUGAAUAAAGCAUCAACUUCAUCAAAACUAUUUCUGAAGCAUCUCUAAUAAUGAGAAAAUUCAUUUUUAAAAAGAUAAUUUACAGAAUGUUACCAAUGAUGAUCUUAAUAUGUGUAUGCCUUUUCAAAUGCCUCUUUUCAAAAUUUAAAGAAGUUUAUUUUUUAUUUUGUUUUUUUUUAAUUUUCAAUAUUAUGUCUCUUGCUUGUAGGGUUUUACUUCAUUUCAAUUUUAGUUUUAUAAGUUUUCUGACUCUAGGAAAAUUUUCACAAGAAGAAAUAUUUCAUUUUUGUCUUCCAAAAUAAUUCUAAUAAAAUAGUAACACUUUUUGUAAAUAGGUAAGUUCUUUCAGUGAAAAAAAAAGAAAAGAGAGAAAGGUACAAAAUAUAUUAUAUACAUAAGUAUAUAAAGUAAGUAGAAAACAUUUUCUCUUAUAUUUUUCCCUCCUACCAUCUUUCCCUAAAAACCCAUUCUACUUUCCAUGGCCACUGUCAUGUUGUUCUGUAUGGUUUGACUCUUUCAUUUUAUGUGCAUCCUUGAAAACACACACACACACAAUUGGUUUUGAGAUUUUACUUUUUAAAAAUAAAGUCAUACUCUGUGUAUUACCCUGCAAUUAGCUUUUUAAGCACUUUAUUAUUGAAUUUUCUAGAUUAGUCCAUAUGAAUCUAUGGUAUCCUCAAAAUAGCUAUAUAGGGAAAGUGUAGAUGUAACAGAAUUUUGUAAUCAUUCUCCUUUUAACAAUCAUUUAGAUUGUUUCCACUAGAAAAUAUGCAUGUGAUCAUGCAUUGAAUCUGGGGUGGGGAGUGAGCAUAAUAUACUUUUGAAUCUCUAAAGAUUGAAUGUCUAAAAGUAGAAAUUCUGGAUCAGCGGAAUUCUUGAAAUUUUGUAGGUAGUUCCAAACUACUUCUAAAAGGUGUUCCAAUUUAUACUCACUACAGUGAGUGACAGUGCCCUCUUUCCCACCUCCUUGACAAUAAUGUGAUAUUGUUGAUAUUUCUAUACUUUACCCAUGUGUUGAGAAUAAAUGGAAUGUGUUGUUUUAUUAUUUCUUUGAUUAUUGGUGAAAUUUUUAUCCUUUCUUAUUUUUGACUUAGUUUAUGCCGCGUCCGGCCAAGGGAGCCGAGUCCGGCGAGGGACGGCGAGGUUAAAAGACACACAGGACACCAAGGUUCUUCAUCCAGGAGUCAAUAAUCUUUAUUGCUAACACACCUUUUUUUAUACCCCAAGCAGCAGAAGUGGAAAACUACCCAAAAGCAGGAGGGAGGGGGGAGAAAUUUAGUUUCAACAUCUAUUAUUGUCAGGUACCGAAACCUCCCUUAACAAUAAGUCCAUCAGACCAGAAAAGGUCAAGGCAUUCCCGUGGG
Long non-coding RNA from Marmota monax (woodchuck), 8527 nucleotides. RefSeq lists it as uncharacterized. The transcript is spliced from 4 exons. The record is from RefSeq and is a predicted model, not a curated record. NCBI's taxonomy places the organism in Eukaryota, Metazoa, Chordata, Mammalia, Rodentia, Sciuridae.